Asparagus officinalis (garden asparagus) is the source of this 2214-nucleotide RNA transcript. It is a transcript of the gene named pentatricopeptide repeat-containing protein At4g01990, mitochondrial-like, with no coding region annotated. NCBI's taxonomy places the organism in Eukaryota, Viridiplantae, Streptophyta, Magnoliopsida, Asparagales, Asparagaceae. The transcript has 3 exons. The record is from RefSeq and is a predicted model, not a curated record.
CAAAAUUGUGAACAGAGUACCAAAAGUUGAAGUUAAAGAUGAAACUUUGGGGGGUAUUGAAGCGCAAAUAACCAUUUAUUACUUAGUAAAUAAAGUUUAUACGCUUUUCUUAGUUUUCUCUGAAAAAAUCUUGCUGAUAUAAAAAGCUUUGUCGACAAGUUGAACGGCUUGGUUCACGAUAGGUAAAAAUGUGGCGAGGUAACAGUGAACAGAUCUCUCCUCCCUUCGUUCGGUUAAACCCUAGCUAAACCCUUCAAAUCAGAGGGAUUCAAGGAGAUAAGAAUGAUGACGACGAUGAUGAUUAUGGUGGCGAAGAACCGGAUCCGAGGGCUACCGCUGAAAACGGUGGUGACCAGAGCGUUUUCAACUGCGCCUCCGAGCGGUGAGAAUAAGAGACUUUACCGGCGGUUAUCGGCUCUGGGAACGAACCCAGGCGUGACCCGGACACUGGACGAGUGGGUGAAAGAAGGGAAGGCGGUGACGGAAUCCAAGCUGGUGAACAUUGUUAAGGAGCUCCGCAGGUACAAGAACUACAAGCCUGCUCUAAAGGUGAUAGAUUGGAUGGAGAAAAGAGGUUUCGGCAUCAACGAAAGCAUCCAUGCAAUGCGCCUAGAUCUUAUAGCCAAAUCCAAAACCCCAGAAAUCGCCGAGAAAUACUUCUCCAAACUCCCUGAACUAGCAAAGAAUCAGUUUACAUAUGGAGCUCUUUUAAACAUCUAUUGCCAAGAGAAAGCAGCAGAUAAAGCCCUUUCCCUUUACGAGAAGAUGAAAGAACUCAACCUAGCUUCAAAUACUCUAGUAACUAACAACAUCAUGACCCUUCACUUGAAAUUAGGCCAACACGAGAAAAUCCCAACUCUAUUUCAAGAAAUGGAAUCUUUGAAAAUUUCUCCGGAUAGAAUCACUUAUGGAAUUUUGAUGAGCAGCUAUGCAUCUAGAAACGAUAUCGAAUCAGUUGAGAAAGUCGUGGAUGAAAUGAAAAGAGGAGGAAGGGUUGGUUUUGAUUGGAGCUUGUGGUGUAAUCUCGCUGGUUAUUAUAACUCGUCAGGAUUUUUCGAGAAAGCUGAAUCUGUUCUUAAGAAUGCUGAGAAAAUGAUGCCUUCAGGAGAUAGAGAAGCUUACCAUUUUCUCAUUACUUUGUAUGCUGGUGCUGGUAAUUUGUCAGAAGUUAAAAGGGUGUGGAGAUUGCUCAAGGAUUCAUUUAGGAAGAUGACUAAUAUGAGCUAUUAUCAUAUGUUUCACGCUCUUAAGAAACUAGGAGAUGUUGAUGAGUUAAAGAAAAUCUUUGAAGAGUGGGAAUUGCAUUUUGAUCAUUUUGAUGUAAAAUUGGUGAAUGUAGUGUUGGAUGCUUAUCUAGAAAAGGGUAUGAUUAAAGAAGCCGAAAUUAUAUGGGAGAAUGCUAUAUCCAAGGGUUGUGGAUCUGAUUUUAGGACAUUUGAGCUUUUUGCUAAGUAUUACUUGGAACAAGGUGAAAGGGAUUUGGCUACAAAGUUGUUGGAGAGGUAUGCUUGCAUAUUGAAACAAGAAAAAGGUAGGAUCAAUGAAGGAAAAGCAAAGAAGUUUAUUGAACAUCUUGUGGGAGUGAAGGAUGUUGAUGGGGUUGAGGCCUUUUGCAAGAGUUUUAAGGAUCUAGUGUGUUUAUAUCCAAAGAAGAAAUGUUAGCAUUAUUCCUUGUUAACCUGGGUCUGAUGAUUUAAGAUUUGGGAUAAUGGUACUUGAUAUGGUGAGUAUGCAUGGCUGCGUGUAGACUGCAGAAGUGUUGAUAAUUUAUGCGGCAAUGGAGGUUACUGGUAGUAAAAACAAUCCAAAGUUGACUCUCGAAAUAUUUUCUGCAAGGGAUUUACACUAAGAGUAACAUAUCAGUGACUUGUUGAUACUGUGUUGAACAUCAAACUUUAGCCUGCUUGUCUGGGGAUGAACCAUUUUUGAUCGUGGGUGCAUUAUUUUGAUUCUGGGUAAAUCAACAGUUUUUAUAUCUUCAUCAUUUGGAUUGAGCUAUAUGUUCGGUGCAAUAAGGCAUUAUGCGCAUAUGACUAAUAUUUUAUGAGGUUAAUCGUACAGACUCUGUAGCGUCGUACUUUAAAACUUGUGACACUUCUAGUUUGAUUUUUGAAACUUAUUACACUUACAGUUUGAUUUCGGCAGAUAGACCCCUCAGUGAACUUUAGUGACUUCGGUCGAGGGUAAAAGAGUCGAGAAUAUUUAAAAGGGAGU